CCUACGGGUGGCAGCAGUGGGGAAUAUUGGGCAAUGGGCGCAAGCCUGACCCAGCAACGCCGCGUGAAGGAAGAAGGCUUUCGGGUUGUAAACUUCUUUUCUGAGGGACGAAACAAGGGACGGUACCUGAGGAAUAAGCCACGGCUAACUACGUGCCAGCAGCCGCGGUAAUACGUAGGUGGCAAGCGUUAUCCGGAUUUACUGGGUGUAAAGGGCGUGUAGGCGGGACUGCAAGUCAGAUGUGAAAACCACGGGCUCAACCUGUGGCCUGCAUUUGAAACUGUAGUUCUUGAGUACUGGGGAGGCAGACGGAAUUCCUAGUGUAGCGGUGAAAUGCGUAGAUAUUAGGAGGAACACCAGUGGCGAAGGCGGUCUGCUGGACAGCAACUGACACUGAGGCGCGAAAGCGUGGGGAGCGAACAGGAUUAGAUACCCCAGUAGUC
RNAcentral lists this ribosomal RNA (443 nucleotides) under uncultured bacterium. RNAcentral describes it as "partial 16S ribosomal RNA". It matches the Rfam family "Bacterial small subunit ribosomal RNA", at positions 338 to 795 of the family's 1533-position model. The record is from RNAcentral.